Non-coding RNA from Equus caballus (horse), 682 nucleotides. NCBI's taxonomy places the organism in Eukaryota, Metazoa, Chordata, Mammalia, Perissodactyla, Equidae. The record is from RefSeq and is a predicted model, not a curated record.
CCAUUUUCUUUUCAUAGAAUGUCUCCUCAGAAGUAGAAUGCUUAACCUACCACUUAGCACCCUGAGAGUCUCUGGGCUCCAUAACCCUCUGGGGCCUUCAGUCAAGACUGGUACCAAAGAACUUUUAAACCAAAGUUGGGAAACUUAAGCCUAAUUCCUUGUACAAUAGUUCUAUAAUCUUUGGACCCUGCCCAGAUGCAGAACUCUCCUACUCACUUGUACUUUCGUCCCUGGUCCCCUCAAAUGAUGCCUCACACAGAAACUCUUUUUUCUUUUGAGGAAGGCUGGCCCUGAGCUAACAUCCAUCCCCAUCGUCCUCUACUUUCUAUGUGGGACGCCUACCACAGCAUGGCUUGACAAGCGGUGCCACAUCUGCACCCGGGAUACGAAGCGGCGAACCUCGGCUGCCGAAGCGGAAGACUCAUUGUGACCUCAGUCUUCAGGAUUCAAAUGGACCAACAGAGAACGCAGCUCAGACAGAAAAGAAAAAAGUACAAAAUUCAAGAAGAUCGGAGAUGAAGAAAAGGUACAAAAUUAUAUAUAUAUUUAUAUAUAUAAUAACAUGACAUAUCUAUGUACAACACAGCUGGGACAGUUGAGGAAACUAUACAAGGAUGUUCGGCAUUUUCCCCUUCCCACAUGGACUUUAGACUAAGGAAGACAGCAUGAGGAAAUGGAGCAA